RNAcentral lists this ribosomal RNA (512 nucleotides) under uncultured bacterium. Its description in RNAcentral is "partial 16S ribosomal RNA". It matches the Rfam family "Bacterial small subunit ribosomal RNA", at positions 28 to 507 of the family's 1533-position model. The record is from RNAcentral.
GAUGAACGCUGGCGGCGUGCCUAAUACAUGCAAGUCGAACGAAACUUCUUUAUCACCGAGUGCUUGCACUCACCGAUAAAGAGUUGAGUGGCGAACGGGUGAGUAACACGUGGGCAACCUGCCCAAAAGAGGGGGAUAACACGUGGAAACAGGUGCUAAUACCGCAUAACCAUAGUUACCGCAUGGUAACUAUGUAAAAGGUGGCUAUACUACCGCUUUUGGAUGGGCCCGCGGCGCAUUAGCUAGUUGGUAGGGUAAAGGCUUACCAAGGCAAUGAUGCGUAGCCGAAUUGAGAGGUUGAUCGGCCACAUUGGGACUGAGACACGGCCCAAACUCCUACGGGAGGCAGCAGUAGGGAAUCUUCCACAAUGGGCGAAAGCCUGAUGGAGCAACGCCGCGUGGGUGAAGAAGGUCUUCGGAUCGUAAAACCCUGUUGUUAGAGAAGAAAGUGCGUGAGAGUAACUGUUCACGUUUCGACGGUAUCUAACCAGAAAGCCACUGCUAACUACGUG